GACGAACGCUGGCGGCGUGCUUAACACAUGCAAGUCGAACGGCAAGGCCCUGCUUUUGUGGGGUGCUCGAGUGGCGAACGGGUGAGUAACACGUGAGUAACCUGCCCUUGACUUUGGGAUAACUUAAGGAAACUGGGGCUAAUACCGGAUAGGAGCUCCUGCUGCAUGGUGGGGGUUGGAAAGUUUCGGCUGUUGGGGAUGGACUCGCGGCUUAUCAGCUUGUUGGUGGGGUAGUGGCUUACCAAGGCUUUGACGGGUAGCCGGCCUGAGAGGGUGACCGGGCACAAUGGGACUGAGAGACGGCGCAGACGCCUACGGUAGGCAGCAGUGGGGAAUAUUGCACAAUGGGCGGAAGCCUGAGGCAGCAACGCCGGGUGCGGGAUGACGGCCUUCGGGUUGUAAACCGCUUUCGCCUGUGACGAAGCGUGAGUGACGGUAAUGGGUAAAGAAGCACCGGCUAACUACGUG
This 468-nucleotide ribosomal RNA is filed under the name uncultured bacterium. RNAcentral describes it as "partial 16S ribosomal RNA". It matches the Rfam family "Bacterial small subunit ribosomal RNA", at positions 28 to 507 of the family's 1533-position model. The record is from RNAcentral.